GUAGGGAAUAUUGGACAAUGGGGGCAACCCUGAUCCAGCAAUGCCGCGUGAGUGAUGAAGGCCUUAGGGUUGUAAAGCUCUUUUACCCGGGAUGAUAAUGACAGUACCGGGAGAAUAAGCUCCGGCUAACUCCGUGCCAGCAGCCGCGGUAAUACGGAGGGAGCUAGCGUUGUUCGGAAUUACUGGGCGUAAAGCGCGCGUAGGCGGCUAUUUAAGUCAGAGGUGAAAGCCUGGAGCUCAACUCCAGAACUGCCUUUGAGACUGGAUAGCUAGAAUCCUGGAGAGGUGAGUGGAAUUCCGAGUGUAGAGGUGAAAUUCGUAGAUAUUCGGAAGAACACCAGUGGCGAAGGCGGCUCACUGGACAGGUAUUGACGCUGAGGUGCGAAAGCGUGGGGAGCAAACAGGAUUAGAUACCCCAGUAGUCC
This 425-nucleotide ribosomal RNA is filed under the name uncultured bacterium. RNAcentral describes it as "partial 16S ribosomal RNA". It matches the Rfam family "Bacterial small subunit ribosomal RNA", at positions 354 to 796 of the family's 1533-position model. The record is from RNAcentral.